Molecule: non-coding RNA, 122 nt
Organism: Caenorhabditis elegans
Lineage: Eukaryota; Metazoa; Nematoda; Chromadorea; Rhabditida; Rhabditidae
Source: Ensembl
UGCGGCAGAGGUGAGAAAUUGAGGCAUUAUGAGGUGAGUGAUGAUGUGCGUAUUAUGCAAUCGUCGUCGAUUCCAUAUUCUAUUCGCGUCGGUGACCAUCCAAGGACAAAAAAGAGGAAACG